GUGAGGAAUAUUGGACAAUGGGCGCAAGCCUGAUCCAGCCAUGUCGCGUGCAGGAAGACGCAUCUAUGGUGUGUAAACUGCUUUUGUACGGGAAGAAACACUCCCUCGUGAGGGAGCUUGACGGUACCGUAAGAAUAAGGAUCGGCUAACUCCGUGCCAGCAGCCGCGGUAAUACGGAGGAUCCAAGCGUUAUCCGGAAUCAUUGGGUUUAAAGGGUCCGUAGGCGGUUUAAUAAGUCAGUGGUGAAAGCCCAUCGCUCAACGAUGGAACGGCCAUUGAUACUGUUAGACUUGAAUUACAAGGAAGUAACUAGAAUAUGUAGUGUAGCGGUGAAAUGCUUAGAUAUUACAUGGAAUACCAAUUGCGAAGGCAGGUUACUACUUGUGGAUUGACGCUGAUGGACGAAAGCGUGGGGAGCGAACAGGAUUAGAAACCCGGGUAGUCC
RNAcentral lists this ribosomal RNA (445 nucleotides) under uncultured bacterium. Its description in RNAcentral is "partial 16S ribosomal RNA". It matches the Rfam family "Bacterial small subunit ribosomal RNA", at positions 354 to 796 of the family's 1533-position model. The record is from RNAcentral.